RNAcentral lists this transfer RNA (87 nucleotides) under Shewanella putrefaciens. RNAcentral describes it as "tRNA-Leu". Lineage: Bacteria; Pseudomonadati; Pseudomonadota; Gammaproteobacteria; Alteromonadales; Shewanellaceae. The record is from RNAcentral.
CGCCCUGAAAAAAUUCCUACGCUGCGCCCAGCUUUUAGCAAAGAUGGCACUAUCACAGCGGCUAACUCUAGCUCGAUUUCCGAUGGC